Molecule: ribosomal RNA, 439 nt
Filed under: uncultured bacterium
Lineage: Bacteria
Description: partial 16S ribosomal RNA
Rfam family: Bacterial small subunit ribosomal RNA
Source: RNAcentral
CUACGGGGCGCUGCAGUGGGGAAUAUUGCACAAUGGAGGAAACUCUGAUGCAGCAACGCCGCGUGGAGGAUGACACUUUUCGGAGCGUAAACUCCUUUUAUAUAGGAAGAAGAUGACGGUACUAUAUGAAUAAGCGCCGGCUAACUCCGUGCCAGCAGCCGCGGUAAUACGGAGGGCGCAAGCGUUACUCGGAAUCACUGUGCGUAAAGAGCGUGUAGGCGGAUUAAAAAGUCAGAAGUGAAAUCCUAUAGCUUAACUAUAGAACUGCUUCUGAAACUCCUAAUCUAGAAUAUGGGAGAGGUAGAUGGAAUUUCUGGUGUAGGGGUAAAAUCCGUAGAGAUCAGAAGGAAUACCGAUUGCGAAGGCGAUCUACUAGAACAUUAUUGACGCUGAGACGCGAAAGCGUGGGGAGCAAACAGGAUUAGAUACCCCAGUAGUC